GCCAGUGUGGUGUAGUGGUUAGCGCGUUGGACUAGGACCUGGGAAGCCAACAGGGUUCAAAUCCCCACUCUGCCA
Podarcis lilfordi (Lilford's wall lizard) is the source of this 75-nucleotide non-coding RNA. Lineage: Eukaryota; Metazoa; Chordata; Lepidosauria; Squamata; Lacertidae. The record is from the annotation of a GenBank genome assembly.